Molecule: transfer RNA, 76 nt
Filed under: Candidatus Lloydbacteria bacterium RIFCSPHIGHO2_02_FULL_50_11
Lineage: Bacteria; Candidatus Lloydiibacteriota
Also listed under: 1 other name
Description: tRNA-Thr
Rfam family: tRNA
About the family: Transfer RNA (tRNA) molecules are approximately 80 nucleotides in length. Their secondary structure includes four short double-helical elements and three loops (D, anti-codon, and T loops).
Source: RNAcentral
GCCGCCCUAGCUCAGUUGGUAGAGCAUCGCAUUCGUAACGCGAAGAUCCGGAGUUCGAUCCUCCGGGGCGGCUCCA